UACGUAGGGUGCAAGCGUUAAUCGGAAUUACUGGGCGUAAAGCGUGCGCAGGCGGCUAUGCAAGACAGAUGUGAAAUCCCCGGGCUCAACCUGGGAACUGCAUUUGUGACUGCAUGGCUAGAGUACGGUAGAGGGGGAUGGAAUUCCGCGUGUAGCAGUGAAAUGCGUAGAUAUGCGGAGGAACACCGAUGGCGAGGGCAAUCCCCUGGACCUGUACUGACGCUCAUGCACGAAAGCGUGGGGAGCAAACAGG
RNAcentral lists this ribosomal RNA (253 nucleotides) under uncultured bacterium. Its description in RNAcentral is "partial 16S ribosomal RNA". It matches the Rfam family "Bacterial small subunit ribosomal RNA", at positions 524 to 776 of the family's 1533-position model. The record is from RNAcentral.